ACUCAAAUGAAUUGACGGGGACCCGCACAAGUAGCGGAGCAUGUGGUUUAAUUCGAAGCAACGCGAAGAACCUUACCUAAGCUUGACAUCCUUUUGACCUCUCCCUAAUCGGAGAUUUCCCUUCGGGGACAGAAGUGACAGGUGGUGCAUGGUUGUCGUCAGCUCGUGUCGUGAGAUGUUGGGUUAAGUCCCGCAACGAGCGCAACCCUUGCCUUUAGUUGCCAGCAUUAAGUUGGGCACUCUAGAGGGACUGCCAGGGAUAACCUGGAGGAAGGUGGGGAUGACGUCAAAUCAUCAUGCCCCUUAUGCUUAGGGCUACACACGUGCUACAAUGGGUGGUACAGAGGGCAGCCAAGUCGUGAGGCGGAGCUAAUCCCUUAAAGCCAUUCUCAGUUCGGAUUGUAGGCUGAAACUCGCCUACAUGAAGCUGGAGUUACUAGUAAUCGCAGAUCAGAAUGCUGCGGUGAAUGCGUUCCCGGGUCUUGUACACACCGCCCGU
Molecule: ribosomal RNA, 499 nt
Filed under: uncultured bacterium
Lineage: Bacteria
Description: partial 16S ribosomal RNA
Rfam family: Bacterial small subunit ribosomal RNA
Source: RNAcentral